GGACGAACGGCUGGCGGCCGUGCCUAAUACAUGCAAGGUCGAACGGUCUUUCUAUGGAAGCUUGCUUCCACUGAGAAGAUAGUGGCGAACGGGUGAGUAACACGUGGGUAGCCCUGCCCAUAAGAGGGGGGAUAACAUCCGGAAACGGGUGCGUAAUACCGCAUAGUUUUCUUGAUCGCAUGAUCGGGAAAGGAAAGACGGCCUUUGUGCUGUCGCUUAUGGACGGACCCGCGGCGUAUUAGUUAGUUGGUGAGGUAACGGCUCACCAAGACGAUGAUACGUAGCCGUACCUGAGAGGGUGAUCGGCCACAUUGGGACUGAGACACGGCCCAAACUCCUACGGGAGGCAGCAGUAGGGAAUCUUCCGCAAUGGACGAAAGUCUGACGGAGCAACGCCGCGUGAGUGAAGAAAAGGUUUUCGGAUCGUAAAACUCUGUUGUCAGAGAAGAACAAGUUGGAGAGUAACUGCUCCAGCCUUGACGGUAUCUGACCAGAAAGCCACGGCUAACUACGUGCCAGCCGCCGC
RNAcentral lists this ribosomal RNA (526 nucleotides) under uncultured bacterium. RNAcentral describes it as "bacterial SSU rRNA". It matches the Rfam family "Bacterial small subunit ribosomal RNA", at positions 35 to 518 of the family's 1533-position model. The record is from RNAcentral.